This 240-nucleotide unclassified non-coding RNA is filed under the name soil metagenome. Its description in RNAcentral is "partial contains 5.8S ribosomal RNA, internal transcribed spacer 2, and large subunit ribosomal RNA". The record is from RNAcentral.
AACCUAGCACACCUGCGGUGUGUACCUGCGGAAGGAUCAUUACCGAGUUUACAACUCCCAAACCCCUGUGAACAUACCUAUAAUUUGCCUCGGCGGACUCAACGACGGUGCUCCGAGAAAUCGGGCGCCGCUCGCUGCCAGAGGAACCCCAAACUCUAUGUAUUCUUGUGGAUCUUCUGAGUAAAACAAAACAAAUAAAUCAAAACUUUUAACAACGGAUCUCAGAUCGGAAGAGCACAC